RNAcentral lists this ribosomal RNA (799 nucleotides) under Salmonella enterica subsp. enterica serovar Paratyphi B var. L(+) tartrate +. RNAcentral's name for it is "partial 23S ribosomal RNA". It matches the Rfam family "Bacterial large subunit ribosomal RNA", at positions 390 to 1190 of the family's 2925-position model. Lineage: Bacteria; Pseudomonadati; Pseudomonadota; Gammaproteobacteria; Enterobacterales; Enterobacteriaceae. The record is from RNAcentral.
GCAUGUGUUGUGAGCUCGAUGAGUAGGGCGGGACACGUGGUAUCCUGUCUGAAUAUGGGGGGACCAUCCUCCAAGGCUAAAUACUCCUGACUGACCGAUAGUGAACCAGUACCGUGAGGGAAAGGCGAAAAGAACCCCGGCGAGGGGAGUGAAAAAGAACCUGAAACCGUGUACGUACAAGCAGUGGGAGCACCCUUUGGGGUGUGACUGCGUACCUUUUGUAUAAUGGGUCAGCGACUUAUAUUCUGUAGCAAGGUUAACCGAAUAGGGGAGCCGGAGGGAAACCGAGUCUUAAUUGGGCGUUAAGUUGCAGGGUAUAGACCCGAAACCCGGUGAUCUAGCCAUGGGCAGGUUGAAGGUUGGGUAACACUAACUGGAGGACCGAACCGACUAAUGUUGAAAAAUUAGCGGAUGACCUGUGGCUGGGGGUGAAAGGCCAAUCAAACCGGGAGAUAGCUGGUUCUCCCCGAAAGCUAUUUAGGUAGCGCCUCGUGAAUUCAUCUCCGGGGGUAGAGCACUGUUUCGGCUAGGGGGCCAUCCCGGCUUACCAACCCGAUGCAAACUGCGAAUACCGGAGAAUGUUAUCACGGGAGACACACGGCGGGUGCUAACGUCCGUCGUGAAGAGGGAAACAACCCAGACCGCCAGCUAAGGUCCCAAAGUCAUGGUUAAGUGGGAAACGAUGUGGGAAGGCCCAGACAGCCAGGAUGUUGGCUUAGAAGCAGCCAUCAUUUAAAGAAAGCGUAAUAGCUCACUGGUCGAGUCGGCCUGCGCGGAAGAUGUAACGGGGCUAAACCAU